CUAAAGCUCCUCCAGCAGAGCCCGGUGUUCUUCCUGGCUGAAGAGUGGUUCCAGCAGAGUGGGCUCUUCCACGUCCUUCAGCUCCCCCAGUGGCGCCGGAUCUAGGAAAGGUUGUGCCUUUUGCUGAAACUCUAGGGUCGACAGGAGCUCAUCUAAUAGGCUGGGGAUUUAACAUCCUACUUCACAAGAUGCUCAUAGCCUUGAUCCAUUACAGCCGCUGCCUCAUCCAUCUCUGCUCAUAUCCUUGAUCCAAUACAGCAGCCACCCCGUCCAUCUCUGCUCAUAACCUAAACUAAUAGAAGCCAGAGGGAAGAAAUGGAAGCCAACACUCCAGAAAGCUGUGACUCACCUAAGAGUUUGCAAUUUCUGUCUGGGGGAAAAGAAGAGAAAGUUGACUGUGAAAAUAAGCAUUACCAUAGAGCCUUCUCUAUGGCAACAUCAAAAAUGAAAGCUGAUUCUCAUCUUCCUAACAAUCUGCAAAGACAAGUGAAACACAACCUACUGAGCAUCAAGUUAAAGAAGGAGUGAAUUUGAGUAGCACGGGAGGAAACCAUGUCUUCGCCACUAGGGAAAUAAAUAUGACCACUGUUCCUCUGCCCUCCUCCGAGGCUAAAGAUGGGUUAAAUAUGAGUGCCUGACCUCAGAUAAUGGAAUGAGCAAAAAAGCUAUAAAAUGCAUGCAUUACAUAAUUAAGAGGGUGGGAAGGGAUUUUUUUUAAAAAGGCAAUUCCUAGUUGGGUUCCUUCCUGUUCACGCCAUUGAUGAAGAAAUUAGUCUUGCCCUAGAAUUCUGGGGAUGGCUGCAGACACAACAAACACUGAGCAGAUGAAAUUCACGGUAAUUUAUUCAUCGCGCAUACUCAGCCCAACAGGGGAUGACACUGCAUCUAUGCAGGUCUACCCGGGGGUUCACUCUGGAGCACAGGGUGCGGGAGGCAGGCUUGGUAGAAAUCAGAGGGUGGGGUAACCCUUGGUCCCUUGAGGGAUGUGCUUGACUAAUUCAAAGAGUUUAGCAGUCUGUUGGGGGCAUGAAAGCCAUUAGGCUGAGGACCUGGUGGGAUGCAGCAUGAAAUUUUAGGUGUCACAGUAAAAUUGACCCUGAUGCUUUAAAAUCAGACAUUUAUUUUAAUGAUGACUAAUAUUUUGAGAGGCUGAGAGAAGGCUGUUGAGACAUUGUAAUAAGUGCUUAGGGGCAUGAGACAUUAGGAAGGCCACAAUUAUGAGUAAUGAAAUGUGGAAGCUGAUGAGAAGCUACUGCUCCCAUUUGCUUAGCAGGAAGCAGGAAAAGUGAUCUGGGAUCUCUGGCAGCACAAGCGUGUUGGUAAAUAUUUGGGUGAUGUCAUGCAUCCCCCAUGCAUUGGUUUUCAUGUCUCCAGUGAGUUGUUGGGCAAGUCUGAUAUUACUGAUCCACACGCAGCAGGCAGCUUCCUGUAUGGAGCUACCUCCACCCCUUGGACAGUUCAGGACUGAAAGGUUGUCAAAAAUGUGAACUCCUUGAUGUCCAGUAAAGGCAACUGAGGGGACUGUCUAGCAUUGGUGUAAAAAGUGCACUUUCCUAAGGAGCAUGAACUUAGAGUAAUCAAAUCCUGUGGCAACAGUGGUAUCCAGCAGGGCAUCCACUCGAUUCUUUGUACCUUAAAUAGGAAUUCUUUGAGGAGCUCAGUGUAUCUCUCAACUGAAGCAGCUGCCUGCAUCCUACAGGGGCAGUGGAAGCUCUGCUGGACACCUUCUUCACAAGCCCAGCACUGUGUUUUCUGAUGAAAUGUUGCUUUGGUGAUCAUCAGUAGUGUCUGGAACUCUGCAAGGGAUAAGGAGUGUCCCUGUGAGAGCUGUACUGUGUCCUGAGUUAAAAUAAAGGCAUCUGUUACCUUGUUUGGUAUUCUGAGUAAAAAAAAAAAAAAAAA
Molecule: long non-coding RNA, 1902 nt
Filed under: Homo sapiens (human)
Lineage: Eukaryota; Metazoa; Chordata; Mammalia; Primates; Hominidae
Description: uncharacterized LOC105379477 (LOC105379477)
Source: RNAcentral